RNAcentral lists this ribosomal RNA (402 nucleotides) under uncultured bacterium. RNAcentral describes it as "bacterial SSU rRNA". It matches the Rfam family "Bacterial small subunit ribosomal RNA", at positions 355 to 782 of the family's 1533-position model. The record is from RNAcentral.
UGGGGAAUAUUGGACAAUGGGGGAAACCCUGAUCCAGCAAUGCCGCGUGUGUGAAGAAGGCCGCGGGUUGUAAAGCACUUUCAAUGGGAAGGCGCAACCCAUAGAAGAAGCACCGGCUAACUCCGUGCCAGCAGCCGCGGUAAUACGGAGGGUGCGAGCGUUAAUCGGAAUUACUGGGCGUAAAGCGCGCGUAGGCGGUUGCGUAAGUCGAUUGUGAAAGCCCCGGGCUUAACUUGGGAAUUGCAGUCGAUACUGCGCAGCUAGAGUGUGGUAGAGGGAAGUGGAAUUCCGGGUGUAGCGGUGAAAUGCGUAGAUAUCGGAAGGAACACCAGUGGCGAAGGCGGCUACCUGGCCAGAUACUGACACUGAAGCACGAAAGCGUGGGGAGCAAACAGGAUUAGA